This is a long non-coding RNA of Helianthus annuus (common sunflower), 333 nucleotides long. RefSeq lists it as uncharacterized. Lineage: Eukaryota; Viridiplantae; Streptophyta; Magnoliopsida; Asterales; Asteraceae. The transcript has 2 exons. The record is from RefSeq and is a predicted model, not a curated record.
GCACUUGGAGGGUUGGAGGUGUUCUAGCAAUGUCCCGUGCUUUUGGAAACCGCAUGCUUAAGCAAUUUGUUGUUGUAGAACCUGGCAUCCAGGAACAAGAGCUUGAGGAAGAACUUCAAAUGCUAAUUCUUGCAAGUGAUGGUCUCUGGGAAGUAGUACCUAAUGAUGUAUAUCAUGGUGGUGGUGGUAGUUACACUAUUUGUAUUAUGUCAUCAAGAUGAUGAUCAUAAGUGUGUUUGGCAAUACUAUUAUUAUUUUACAAAAUAUUAGAAAAUAGUCUAUUGCAAUCUUCAUAUUUGGUAGGAGCAUUUUAUAUUAGAAUUUAUUUAAAAA